Molecule: long non-coding RNA, 333 nt
Organism: Vidua chalybeata
Lineage: Eukaryota; Metazoa; Chordata; Aves; Passeriformes; Viduidae
Exons: 4
Source: RefSeq, a predicted model, not a curated record
CUUCAGCCCUUGAGGCCGUUUCUUCUGUCGGUCGUAACCUGGGAGAAGAACUCGCUCCCUGCCUGGCUACAACCUCCUGUCAGGGCGCUGUAGAGAGCAACUUUUAGCACCAACAAAGCUGAGUAGAUACCUAAGGAUGACUGAAAACUCUGCUGGGCACUCAUGUUUGCUUACAAAAUGGAGUCAUAUUCUGAGGAUCAAUGGACUUACGAGCACAGAGUUCUAGACCACCUCACAGAUGACAAAGACUGCCAACUGAUGACCAUUUCCUGGGAAGAAUUAUAUGUCUUGAGCAAGGAGAGAAGAAGAUUCCUCCACUGAUCCCUUUUAGUG